CGUGGCUUCCGGAGCUAACGCGUUAAGUCGACCGCCUGGGGAGUACGGCCGCAAGGUUAAAACUCAAAUGAAUUGACGGGGGCCCGCACAAGCGGUGGAGCAUGUGGUUUAAUUCGAUGCAACGCGAAGAACCUUACCUGGUCUUGACAUCCACAGAACUUUCCAGAGAUGGAUUGGUGCCUUCGGGAACUGUGAGACAGGUGCUGCAUGGCUGUCGUCAGCUCGUGUUGUGAAAUGUUGGGUUAAGUCCCGCAACGAGCGCAACCCUUAUCCUUUGUUGCCAGCGGUCCGGCCGGGAACUCAAAGGAGACUGCCAGUGAUAAACUGGAGGAAGGUGGGGAUGACGUCAAGUCAUCAUGGCCCUUACGACCAGGGCUACACACGUGCUACAAUGGCGCAUACAAAGAGAAGCGACCUCGCGAGAGCAAGCGGACCUCAUAAAGUGCGUCGUAGUCCGGAUUGGAGUCUGCAACUCGACUCCAUGAAGUCGGAAUCGCUAGUAAUCGUGGAUCAGAAUGCCACGGUGAAUACGUUCCCGGGCCUUGUACACACCGCCCGUCACACCAUGGGAGUGGGUUGCAAAAGAAGUAGGUAGCUUAACCUUCGGGAGGGCGCUUACCACUUUGUGAUUCAUGACUGGGGUGAAGUCGUAACAAGGUAACCGUAGGGGAACCUGCGGUUG
RNAcentral lists this ribosomal RNA (682 nucleotides) under Escherichia coli B171. RNAcentral describes it as "bacterial SSU rRNA". It matches the Rfam family "Bacterial small subunit ribosomal RNA", at positions 838 to 1520 of the family's 1533-position model. The record is from RNAcentral. Lineage: Bacteria; Pseudomonadati; Pseudomonadota; Gammaproteobacteria; Enterobacterales; Enterobacteriaceae.